RNAcentral lists this ribosomal RNA (406 nucleotides) under uncultured bacterium. RNAcentral describes it as "partial 16S ribosomal RNA". It matches the Rfam family "Bacterial small subunit ribosomal RNA", at positions 29 to 526 of the family's 1533-position model. The record is from RNAcentral.
AUUGAACGCUGGCGGCAGGCCUAACACAUGCAAGUCGAGCGAGCGGCGGACGGGUGAGUAAUGUGUGGGAGACUGCCUGAUGGCGGGGGAUAACUGCUGGAAACGGUAGCUCAUACCGCAUACCCUCGGAUGUGCGCAGAGGGGAUUAGCUGGUAGGUGGGGUAACGGCUCACCAAGCGGACGAUCCCUAGCUGGUCUGAGAGGAUGACCAGCCACACUGGAACUGAGACACGGUCCAGACUCCUACGGGAGGCAGCAGUGGGGAAUAUUGCACAAUGGGCGCAAGCCUGAUGCAGCCAUGCCGCGUGUGUGAAGAAGGCCUUCGGGUUGUAAAGCACUUUCAGCGGGGAGGCGUUACCCGCAGAAGAAGCACCGGCUAACUCCGUGCCAGCAGCCGCGGUAAUUC